CCUACGGGGGGCAGCAGUGGGGAAUAUUGGGCAAUGGAGGAAACUCUGACCCAGCAACGCCGCGUGAAUGAUGAAGGUCUUCGGAUUGUAAAGCUCUUUUCUAAGGGAAGAAGAAAGUGACGGUACCUUAGGAAUAAGCCUCGGCUAACUACGUGCCAGCAGCCGCGGUAAUACGGAGGAGGCAAGCGUUAUCCGGAAUGACGGGGCGUAAGGGGUGCGUAGGUGGUUUGUUAAGUUGGUAGUGUAAUUCCGAGGCUCAACAGCGGAACUACUACCAAAACUGUCAGACUUGAGUGCAGGGGGGGCAACUGGAAUUCCUGGUGUAGCGGUGAAAUGCGUAGAUAUUAGGAAGAACACCGGUGGCGAAGGCGAGUUGCUGGACUGUAACUGACACUGAGGCACGAAAGCGUGGGGAGCAAACAGGAUUAGAUACCCCAGUAGUC
This 443-nucleotide ribosomal RNA is filed under the name uncultured bacterium. RNAcentral describes it as "partial 16S ribosomal RNA". It matches the Rfam family "Bacterial small subunit ribosomal RNA", at positions 338 to 795 of the family's 1533-position model. The record is from RNAcentral.